This 691-nucleotide ribosomal RNA is filed under the name uncultured bacterium. RNAcentral's name for it is "bacterial SSU rRNA". It matches the Rfam family "Bacterial small subunit ribosomal RNA", at positions 140 to 828 of the family's 1533-position model. The record is from RNAcentral.
GGGAUAAGCGGAAGAAAUUCCGUCUAAUACCGCGUAAUAACUCCGAGGGGCAUCUCUUGGGGUUUAAAGGGUAACACCGGCUACGGAUGGCCAUGCGGCGCAUUAGCUAGUUGGCGGGGUAACGGCCCACCAAGGCGACGAUGCGUAGGGGUUCUGAGAGGAAGGUCCCCCACACUGGUACUGAGACACGGACCAGACUCCUACGGGAGGCAGCAGUGAGGAAUAUUGGUCAAUGGGCGCGAGCCUGAACCAGCCAAGUCGCGUGAGGGAAGACGGUCCUAUGGAUUGUAAACCUCUUUUGUCGGGGAGCAAAAGACGCCACGCGUGGCGUUCCGAGAGUACCCGAAGAAAAAGCAUCGGCUAACUCCGUGCCAGCAGCCGCGGUAAUACGGAGGAUGCGAGCGUUAUCCGGAUUUAUUGGGUUUAAAGGGUGCGCAGGCGGAAGAUCAAGUCAGCGGUAAAAUUGGGAGGCUCAACCUCUUCGAGCCGUUGAAACUGGUUUUCUUGAGUGAGCGAGAAGUAUGCGGAAUGCGUGGUGUAGCGGUGAAAUGCAUAGAUAUCACGCAGAACUCCGAUUGCGAAGGCAGCAUACCGGCGCUCAACUGACGCUCAUGCACGAAAGUGUGGGUAUCGAACAGGAUUAGAUACCCUGGUAGUCCACACAGUAAACGAUGAAUAAUAGUUGUUCGGG